UGGGGAAUCUUGCGCAAUGGGGGAAACCCUGACGCAGCAACGCCGCGUGGGUGAUGAAGGCCUUCGGGUCGUAAAGCCCUGUCAGGUGGGAAGAAACUUGUGGAUGUUAAUACCGUCCACACUUGACGGUACCGCCGGAGGAAGCACCGGCUAACUCCGUGCCAGCAGCCGCGGUAAUACGGAGGGUGCAAGCGUUGUUCGGAAUUACUGGGCGUAAAGCGCGUGUAGGCGGUCGGGCAAGUCAGAUGUGAAAGCCUUCCGCUUAACGGAAGAAGUGCAUUUGAAACUACCCGGCUGGAGUACGGGAGAGGAGAGUGGAAUUCCCGGUGUAGAGGUGAAAUUCGUAGAUAUCGGGAGGAACACCAGUGGCGAAGGCGGCUCUCUGGUCCGAUACUGACGCUGAGACGCGAAAGCGUGGGGAGCAAACAGGAUUAGAUACCCUGGUAGUCCACGCCGUAAACGAUGGGCACUAGGUGUAGGAGGUAUUGACCCCUUCUGUGCCGAAGUUAACGCAUUAAGUGCCCCGCCUGGGGAGUACGGCCGCAAGGUUA
Molecule: ribosomal RNA, 551 nt
Filed under: uncultured bacterium
Lineage: Bacteria
Description: bacterial SSU rRNA
Rfam family: Bacterial small subunit ribosomal RNA
Source: RNAcentral